UGAAUGAAACUUAUACACGUAUAAACAAGCCAAAAUAGCGGUUUCAAUGAUGAACGUAUUUUUAAUUUCUGUAUAUUGACACAAAUAUGCAUAUUUAAGUGAAUUAAAUGUAUUAUCACCAAAUGACUUUUAUGCACGUUUGUUUUGUUAUAGCACUCAUUAGUGCUUAUCAAGUUAGGGGUGACGAAAACACUUUAAAGUGUUACUACUGUGAUGACAAAUGUGAUUACCCUUUAGAAGAAACAACUUGUUGCUCUAAUGGUCGUGAUGGUGAAACGUUUAGCUGUAUAUCAUCAUUUACCAUAAUUGAGGGUACGCCCAUCGAACAAAAAGGUUGCAUUUCGAAUGACAAUAGUGAUGCUAUAUGGGCCUGUGAACAACUCAACGGGUUGCAAUAUAGUUCAUGUGUUAUUUGUAGUGACGAUUUUUGUAACUUUAGUACAAAUAUAAAAAAUUCAGUGCCUACUAUGUUAGGUUUAACAUAAAA
This is a long non-coding RNA of Zophobas morio, 487 nucleotides long. RefSeq lists it as uncharacterized. Lineage: Eukaryota; Metazoa; Arthropoda; Insecta; Coleoptera; Tenebrionidae. The record is from RefSeq and is a predicted model, not a curated record. The transcript is spliced from 3 exons.